CUAAUGCACAAAACAAGGCAUUCAUAGCCUUUGCAUUUAAAGCAAAAACCUUCUUCUCCGAUUCAUUCCAUUCACUCAUCGGAAGAGAAGAUUUUUGAAAUCCGUUUUCAACAAUAGACCAAAGCUCAAAGUCCAUAGAAAUGAGGAAGAUCCUCAUGCGAGUCUUCCAAUAUGUGUAAUCCGACCCAUUAAACAAAGGUGGUCGUGCAAUAGAGUGGCCCUCUUGCAUGCCGGAGUAAGCCAUCUCUCUUGGGUAUUAAACCAAAUAUGAGAGAUAACCUCGCUCUGAUACCACUUGUUAGGAUC
Molecule: long non-coding RNA, 306 nt
Filed under: Musa acuminata (dwarf banana)
Lineage: Eukaryota; Viridiplantae; Streptophyta; Magnoliopsida; Zingiberales; Musaceae
Description: long non-coding RNA (MACU_LNC003319)
Source: RNAcentral